RNAcentral lists this long non-coding RNA (426 nucleotides) under Equus caballus (horse). RNAcentral describes it as "lncRNA (ENSECAG00000058973.1)". Lineage: Eukaryota; Metazoa; Chordata; Mammalia; Perissodactyla; Equidae. The record is from RNAcentral.
ACCUGGAGGAGUCUAGCACCCAUAGUCAGAGAUAACAUGGGGAUUGUUACACAUGAAGUCAGAGACACCAGGUACAGUUCCCUUCAGAGAUGCUCACCUCUCCCAUUAUAAUACAUCAACAAUUAGUGCCAGAGAAAAAUGAUCCUCAACACACCACAACUGGUCUCAGGUGAUCGAGGAGGAGGAGGAUGGAGCUGGGUGCACGAGAUCUGACACCUCCUUGCCAAUUCACUACAGAGAGACAGAGCAUAGUUUCUGCCUCUGGUUUUACAGAUUGGAAGUUCAUUUCCAGCAUGAUGUCCAUCAUGAUAGAAUGAUACCUCUACAAAAAAACUAAGAACUUUCAGGUGCUCAUAUUGUGGAACUUCUCUGUAUUAUUAUGUUCUUCCUGUUUCUUCUUUUGUUUUCAUUGAAGCAUAUUGUACC